AACGAACGCUGGCGGCAGGCUUAACACAUGCAAGUCGAGCGCCCCGCAAGGGGAGCGGCAGACGGGUGAGUAACGCGUGGGAACGUGCCUUUUGGUUCGGAACAACUCCGGGAAACUGGAGCUAAUACCGGAUAAGCCCUAACGGGGAAAGAUUUAUCGCCGAAAGAUCGGCCCGCGUCUGAUUAGCUAGUUGGUGAGGUAACGGCUCACCAAGGCGACGAUCAGUAGCUGGUCUGAGAGGAUGAUCAGCCACACUGGGACUGAGACACGGCCCAGACUCCUACGGGAGGCAGCAGUGGGGAAUAUUGGACAAUGGGCGCAAGCCUGAUCCAGCCAUGCCGCGUGAGUGAUGAAGGCCUUAGGGUUGUAAAGCUCUUUUGUCCGGGAAGAUAAUGACUGUACCGGAAGAAUAAGCCCCGGCUAACUUCGUG
RNAcentral lists this ribosomal RNA (431 nucleotides) under uncultured bacterium. RNAcentral's name for it is "partial 16S ribosomal RNA". It matches the Rfam family "Bacterial small subunit ribosomal RNA", at positions 29 to 507 of the family's 1533-position model. The record is from RNAcentral.